This 765-nucleotide ribosomal RNA is filed under the name Malurus cyaneus (Superb fairywren). RNAcentral describes it as "partial 12S ribosomal RNA". It matches the Rfam family "Bacterial small subunit ribosomal RNA", at positions 9 to 1253 of the family's 1533-position model. Lineage: Eukaryota; Metazoa; Chordata; Aves; Passeriformes; Maluridae. The record is from RNAcentral.
GACUUAGUCCUAACCUUACUGUUGGUUGUUGCUAGGAAUAUACAUGCAAGUAUCCGCGCCCCAGUGUAGAUGCCCUCGGUACCUGUCACUCAGGUCGGUAGGAGCGGGUAUCAGGCUCACACCUCCCCCGUAGCCCAAAACGCCUUGCACUUGCCACGCCCCCACGGGUACUCAGCAGUAGUUAAUAUUAAGCAAUGAGUGAAAACUUGACUUAGCCAUAGCAACUCAGGGUCGGUAAAUCUUGUGCCAGCCACCGCGGUCAUACAAGAGACCCAAGUCAACUUUAUAACGGCGUAAAGCGUGGUAAUAUGCUAUCAAAGUAACUAAGGUUAAAAAGCAACUGAGCCGUCACAAGCCCAAGAUGCUCAUAAGGCCACCCAAAAAAGAAGACCUUAGACUAAAGAUUAAUUAAAACCCACGAAAGCCAGGGCCCAAACUGGGAUUAGAUACCCCACUAUGCCUGGCCCUAAAUCUUGGUGCUUUAAUCUACUCAAGCAUCCGCCCGAGAACUACGAGCACAAACGCUUAAAACUCUAAGGACUUGGCGGUGCCCCAAACCCACCUAGAGGAGCCUGUUCUAUAAUCGAUGAUCCACGAUAUACCCGACCAUUUCUUGCCAGUCAGCCUAUAUACCGCCGUCGCCAGCCCACCCAUCUGAAGGUUCAACAGUGAGCGCAAUAGCCUAACCCGCUAGUAAGACAGGUCAAGGUAUAGCCUAUGGAAUGGAGGUAAUGGGCUACAUUUUCUAGUAUAGAACAUAACGGC